UUAACAAAAAAAAAAAAUAGGGUUGAGUGAAUUUAGGAGAUUUGGGCUGUGAACAGCACCACACUUUUUACUUUUGAGUUUCGCUUUUCUUCCUUUUGUAUUUUUUAUCUUGUUUAAAUUUUUUUUAUUCUCCAACAAAUUAACCAUAGAUAUUACUGAAAUUACUUUCUUUUUUCAAUUUACAUUUUGAUUUUUUUUUACUUUUGUAAUUUUUAUUUUAUUUUAAAUUGUUUUAAUU
This 238-nucleotide unclassified non-coding RNA is filed under the name Hevea brasiliensis (rubber tree). The record is from RNAcentral. Lineage: Eukaryota; Viridiplantae; Streptophyta; Magnoliopsida; Malpighiales; Euphorbiaceae.